RNAcentral lists this ribosomal RNA (891 nucleotides) under uncultured organism. RNAcentral describes it as "bacterial SSU rRNA". It matches the Rfam family "Bacterial small subunit ribosomal RNA", at positions 30 to 965 of the family's 1533-position model. The record is from RNAcentral.
UGAACGCUGGCGGUCUGCUUAACACAUGCAAGUCGAACGCAACCUUCGGGUUGAGUGGCGGACGGGUGAGUAACGCGUGAGAAUCUGCCUUGGGGUCGGGGACAACCACUGGAAACGGUGGCUAAUACCGGAUAAGCCUUUGGGUAAAAAAUUUAUUGCCCCAAGAGGAGCUCGCGUCUGAUUAGCUAGUUGGUGAGGUAAAAGCUCACCAAGGCAGCGAUCAGUAGCUGGUCUGAGAGGACGAUCAGCCACACUGGGACUGAGACACGGCCCAGACUCCUACGGGAGGCAGCAGUGGGGAAUUUUCCGCAAUGGGCGAAAGCCUGACGGAGCAAGACCGCGUGAGGGAGGAAGGCUCUUGGGUUGUAAACCUCUUUUCUCAGGGAAGAAGCUCUGACGGUACCUGAGGAAUCAGCCUCGGCUAACUCCGUGCCAGCAGCCGCGGUAAUACGGAGGAGGCAAGCGUUAUCCGGAAUUAUUGGGCGUAAAGCGUCCGCAGGUGGCGAUUCAAGUCUGCUGUCAAAGCACGGGGCUUAACUCCGUUAAGGCAGUGGAAACUGAAUAGCUAGAGUGCCGUAGGGGUAGAGGGAAUUCCCGGUGUAGCGGUGAAAUGCGUAGAGAUCGGGAAGAACAUCGGUGGCGAAAGCGCUCUACUGGACGGCAACUGACACUCAGGGACGAAAGCUAGGGGAGCGAAUGGGAUUAGAUACCCCAGUAGUCCUAGCUGUAAACGAUGGAUACUAGGUGUAGCUUGUAUCGACCCGAGCUGUGCCGAAGCUAACGCGUUAAGUAUCCCGCCUGGGGAGUACGCACGCAAGUGUGAAACUCANAGGAAUUGACGGGGGCCCGCACAAGCGGUGGAGUAUGUGGUUUACUUCGAUGCAACGCGAA